RNAcentral lists this ribosomal RNA (702 nucleotides) under uncultured fungus. RNAcentral describes it as "eukaryotic LSU rRNA". The stretch from base 214 to 368 matches the Rfam family "5.8S ribosomal RNA". The record is from RNAcentral. Lineage: Eukaryota; Fungi.
GGAAGGAUCAUUAUCGAAUUGUCAAACAUGGGUUGUUGCUGGCCCUCAAACGGGGCACGUGCACGCUCUGUUUACACAUCCACUCACACCUGUGCACCCUCUGCGGUUCUGUGGUUUGGAAGACCCUGUCUUCCUUCCGUGGCUCUGCGUCUUUACACACACACCAUAGUGAUGUCUCAUGGAAUGUUUUCCGCGUUUAACGCAAUACAAUACAACUUUCAACAACGGAUCUCUUGGCUCUCGCAUCGAUGAACAACGCAACGAAAUGCGAUAAGUAAUGUGAAUUGCAGAAUUCAGUGAAUCAUCGAAUCUUUGAACGCACCUUGCGCCCCUUGGUUAUUCCUCGGGGCAUGCCUGUUUGAGUAUCAUGAGCACCUCAACUCUCAUGGUCUUCCAUGAUGAGCUUGGACUUUGGGGGUUUGCUGGCCCUGUGGCCGGCUCCUCUCAAAUGAAUCAGCUUGCCAGUGUUUGGUGGCAUCACGAGUGUGAUAACUAUCUGCGCUUGUGGUCGUCUGCCAGGUAACCCUCAGCGAUGAAGGUUCAUUGGGGCUCAUAAACGUCUCUCCUCAGUGAGGACAGCUUUUGAACGUUCGAUCUCAGAUCAGGUAGGACUACCCGCUGAACUUAAGCAUAUCAAUAAGCGGAGGAAAAGAAACUAACAAGGAUUCCCCUAGUAACUGCGAGUGAAGCGAGAAGAGCUCA